Molecule: non-coding RNA, 21 nt
Organism: Caenorhabditis elegans
Lineage: Eukaryota; Metazoa; Nematoda; Chromadorea; Rhabditida; Rhabditidae
Source: Ensembl
UUCUACUGUUACAGUGAGAUA